UUUGAUCAUGGCUCAGGACGAACGCUGGCGGCGUGCUUAACACAUGCAAGUCGAACGGAAAGGCCUGCAGCUUGCUGCGGGUACUCGAGUGGCGAACGGGUGAGUAACACGUGGGUGAUCUGCCUUGCACUUCGGGAUAAGCUUGGGAAACUGGGUCUAAUACCGGAUAGGACAGCUGUUUAGUGUCAGUUGUGGAAAGUUUUUUCGGUGCAAGAUGAGCUCGCGGCCUAUCAGCUUGUUGGUGGGGUAAUGGCCUACCAAGGCGUCGACGGGUAGCCGGCCUGAGAGGGUGUACGGCCACAUUGGGACUGAGAUACGGCCCAGACUCCUACGGGAGGCAGCAGUGGGGAAUAUUGCACAAUGGGCGGAAGCCUGAUGCAGCGACGCCGCGUGGGGGAUGAAGGCCUUCGGGUUGUAAACUCCUUUCGACAGGGACGAAGCGUAAGUGACGGUACCUGUAUAAGAAGCACCGGCUAACUACGUGCCAGCAGCCGCGGUAAUACGUAGGGUGCGAGCGUUGUCCGGAAUUACUGGGCGUAAAGAGCUCGUAGGUGGUUUGUCGCGUCGUCUGUGAAAUUCCGGGGCUUAACUCCGGGCGUGCAGGCGAUACGGGCUGACUUGAGUGCUGUAGGGGAGACUGGAAUUCCUGGUGUAGCGUUGAAAUGCGCAGAUAUCAGGAGGAACACCGAUGGCGAAGGCAGGUCUCUGGGCAGUAACUGACGCUGAGGAG
Molecule: ribosomal RNA, 730 nt
Filed under: Corynebacterium sp. OM
Lineage: Bacteria; Bacillati; Actinomycetota; Actinomycetes; Mycobacteriales; Corynebacteriaceae
Description: bacterial SSU rRNA
Rfam family: Bacterial small subunit ribosomal RNA
Source: RNAcentral